This 74-nucleotide transfer RNA is filed under the name Rubripirellula obstinata. RNAcentral's name for it is "tRNA-Ala". It matches the Rfam family "tRNA". From Rfam's summary of the family: Transfer RNA (tRNA) molecules are approximately 80 nucleotides in length. Their secondary structure includes four short double-helical elements and three loops (D, anti-codon, and T loops). RNAcentral also lists the same sequence under 8 other names. The record is from RNAcentral. Lineage: Bacteria; Pseudomonadati; Planctomycetota; Planctomycetia; Pirellulales; Pirellulaceae.
GGGGGAUUAGCUCAGUUGGGAGAGCGCCUGCAUGGCAUGCAGGAGGUCAUCGGUUCAAGUCCGUUAUCCUCCAC